RNAcentral lists this ribosomal RNA (858 nucleotides) under uncultured bacterium. RNAcentral's name for it is "SSU rRNA". It matches the Rfam family "Bacterial small subunit ribosomal RNA", at positions 524 to 1381 of the family's 1533-position model. The record is from RNAcentral.
AACGUAGGUGGCGAGCGUUGUUCGGAUUUAUUGGGCCUAAAGGGCCCGUAGGACGCUGAUUAAAUUUGGGGUGAAAUUCCGCGAGCUCAACUCCGGAACUGCCUUGGAGAUCGAAAACUAGAGUACCGGAGAGGUAGGCGGAAUUCCUGGUGUAGGGGUGAAAUGCUUAGAUAUCUGGAAGAACACCGAAGGCGAAGGCGGCUUACUGGACGGGAACUGACUCUCAUGGACGAAAGCGUGGGGAGCAAACAGGAUUAGAUACCCUGGUAGUCCACGCCGUAAACGAUGUGAACUUGGUGUGGGGGAAAUGAUCCUCCUCGGCACAGAAGAUAAGGCGAUAAUCCCGCCGGCUGAGGACUACCGCCGGGAGGAUACUCCUCAAAGGAAUCGACGGGGCCCCCCACAAGCGGAGGAGCAUGUGGCUUAAUUCGAGGCAACGCGAAGAACCUUACCCCGGCUCGAAAUAUAACGCCUCCCCGGUGAAAGCCGGUUCUCUUUCGGGACUCUUAUACAGGUGCUGCAUGGCUGUCGUCAGCUCGUGCCGUGAGGUGUUCGGUUAAGUCCGGCAACGAGCGCAACCCGUGUCAUCAGUUGCCAGCAGGUAAAGCUGGGGACCCUGAUGAGACUGCCCGGGUUAAGCGGGAGGAAGGCGCGGAUGACGUCAAGUCAGUAUGGCCCUUAUGUCCGGGGCUGCACACGUGCUACAAUGGUCGGUACAAUGAGCCGCGAAGUCGCGAGGCGGAGCAAAUCUAUAAAACCGGCCUUAGUUCAGAUUGCAGUCUGCAACUCGACUGCAUGAAGUUGGAAUCGCUAGUAAAGGCGUAUCAGCUACGACGCCUUGAAUACGUUCCCGGGCCU